Molecule: ribosomal RNA, 1542 nt
Filed under: Escherichia coli
Lineage: Bacteria; Pseudomonadati; Pseudomonadota; Gammaproteobacteria; Enterobacterales; Enterobacteriaceae
Description: bacterial SSU rRNA
Rfam family: Bacterial small subunit ribosomal RNA
Source: RNAcentral
AAAUUGAAGAGUUUGAUCAUGGCUCAGAUUGAACGCUGGCGGCAGGCCUAACACAUGCAAGUCGAACGGUAACAGGAAGAAGCUUGCUUCUUUGCUGACGAGUGGCGGACGGGUGAGUAAUGUCUGGGAAACUGCCUGAUGGAGGGGGAUAACUACUGGAAACGGUAGCUAAUACCGCAUAACGUCGCAAGACCAAAGAGGGGGACCUUCGGGCCUCUUGCCAUCGGAUGUGCCCAGAUGGGAUUAGCUUGUUGGUGGGGUAACGGCUCACCAAGGCGACGAUCCCUAGCUGGUCUGAGAGGAUGACCAGCCACACUGGAACUGAGACACGGUCCAGACUCCUACGGGAGGCAGCAGUGGGGAAUAUUGCACAAUGGGCGCAAGCCUGAUGCAGCCAUGCCGCGUGUAUGAAGAAGGCCUUCGGGUUGUAAAGUACUUUCAGCGGGGAGGAAGGGAGUAAAGUUAAUACCUUUGCUCAUUGACGUUACCCGCAGAAGAAGCACCGGCUAACUCCGUGCCAGCAGCCGCGGUAAUACGGAGGGUGCAAGCGUUAAUCGGAAUUACUGGGCGUAAAGCGCACGCAGGCGGUUUGUUAAGUCAGAUGUGAAAUCCCCGGGCUCAACCUGGGAACUGCAUCUGAUACUGGCAAGCUUGAGUCUCGUAGAGGGGGGGUAGAAUUCCAGGUGUAGCGGUGAAAUGCGUAGAGAUCUGGAGGAAUACCGGUGGCGAAGGCGGCCCCCUGGACGAAGACUGACGCUCAGGUGCGAAAGCGUGGGGAGCAAACAGGAUUAGAUACCCUGGUAGUCCACGCCGUAAACGAUGUCGACUUGGAGGUUGUGCCCUUGAGGCGUGGCUUCCGGAGCUAACGCGUUAAGUCGACCGCCUGGGGAGUACGGCCGCAAGGUUAAAACUCAAAUGAAUUGACGGGGGCCCGCACAAGCGGUGGAGCAUGUGGUUUAAUUCGAUGCAACGCGAAGAACCUUACCUGGUCUUGACAUCCACGGAAGUUUUCAGAGAUGAGAAUGUGCCUUCGGGAACCGUGAGACAGGUGCUGCAUGGCUGUCGUCAGCUCGUGUUGUGAAAUGUUGGGUUAAGUCCCGCAACGAGCGCAACCCUUAUCCUUUGUUGCCAGCGGUCCGGCCGGGAACUCAAAGGAGACUGCCAGUGAUAAACUGGAGGAAGGUGGGGAUGACGUCAAGUCAUCAUGGCCCUUACGACCAGGGCUACACACGUGCUACAAUGGCGCAUACAAAGAGAAGCGACCUCGCGAGAGCAAGCGGACCUCAUAAAGUGCGUCGUAGUCCGGAUUGAGUCUGCAACUCGACUCCAUGAAGUCGGAAUCGCUAGUAAUCGUGGAUCAGAAUGCCACGGUGAAUACGUUCCCGGGCCUUGUACACACCGCCCGUCACACCAUGGGAGUGGGUUGCAAAAGAAGUAGGUAGCUUAACCUUCGGGAGGGCGCUUACCACUUUGUGAUUCAUGACUGGGGUGAAGUCGUAACAAGGUAACCGUAGGGGAACCUGCGGUUGGAUCACCUCCUUA